Molecule: long non-coding RNA, 1713 nt
Organism: Parus major (Great Tit)
Lineage: Eukaryota; Metazoa; Chordata; Aves; Passeriformes; Paridae
Exons: 4
Source: RefSeq, a predicted model, not a curated record
AACAGGAUGCAAAACGAAACUCAACUAGCCGAUACUGACGUUUGCGUUAUCAAACCAGAAGAAUAAAGUGUUACUUGUAGUUUCCAGGCUGCUUUUGGAUCUGAAUGUCCACAAAAUGACUGCAUAAGGGACUGCACAAUUUACACCACUGAUGGCAAAAUUGACCUACUAAUAGGAUAAAAGGAAUCUGCUUUCACAUCUCCAAAUAACACCAACACGCAAAACCUUCAACAAAUAACUACAUCUCUAACUGCAUCAGUUUCCUAUCGUGACCAGCACAACCAACAGGCCUGUUACUUGAGUAAUUUGUUUGUGCCCAGAUGAGAGGAAGAUGCAAACAGAAGAGGGAAAAUGCAGAGAUCUGAUAUGCUACUGCUGAAACAACUCAUGAUAAACUUGCAUUCUACAAAUGGUCCAAGUAGGCCCCCAAAUAUCUAUCAAUCUGCUAUGGCUAAGCAAUAAAGCAUGGAAAUCAAACAAGCUGUUCCUCAAGUAGAGCAGCUUAAGCAAAGCUACACUAAGAAAAAUGCCAGGUCAGAUCCAGAAUUCCUGCUGAAGCUGAGGUUCAGGCAGAAGCUGCUAUGAUGAAGAGGAACAUCAAUUCAUCAGGGCGCAAGAAUGUAAGAUUCCCUCUGGAAAAGUUUAGCAGACUAAAUAUGAGUCUUAGGAGUAAAGGUGAUGUGGAAGAGCACAAUGGGAGCCCUCUCUGAAGCACAAAGGUGCAGAUUGUAGUGGAAGAGUAUCAAAAGCUGAAAGAAGUAAGGAAAACAGAAAAAGAGCAAGCUGACCACCAAAAAUGGCAUUGUAAGAGCUAUGGCCCCUAGAACUGGAAAUUGUUCUGAGAACAUUUCUUUACCAGUUUUGCUUUGUGAUUGAAAGCUUUUCUCUUAGAAGACAGUUUCCUAGAGGAAACAGCUGUAAUUUGUUGUAUCCAGCUCUUGAAACUUUUAUAACCAUUUUCCUGUUAGACAAUAUAAAGUCAGUGAUAAAUAAAAAGCUCCUGCAAGGCAAGGGAAUGAGGGAGAUAAGAGAGAAAAGAUGAUUUCUGCCUGGUUAUUUUUCAAAUGCCUGUUGGGAAUGUGCAGGUCUUUUUCAAGGGCUGAGAAUAGGAAUCUUGAAGACACUGCCAAUUGAGAGGAAAGAAGCUGAUUUCACAUUCUGAGAUGCACUGGAAGAGAGUGACCACAAGCAGGCAUUAGCAUGCAUACCAGCUAUCUGGAUAAAUUUGGGGAAACACUGAAGUUGACAAUCAGAAGCUGAAGAGGUACAGUGUUAGAUGCCAGAAUGAGAGCUGAUCCUACUUCUGCUUUCCUUUAUAAUCCCAUGGAAAUCCACAUAGAAAUUUAUAGCAAACUUCCACUGAAAUGGUGUGAGAGAAUUAACAUGGUAGAUUCUGACAUCCUUGGGUGACAUCCUGGAGAGUGACUAUAUACUCUGUACUUACUUUGAUGAGGACAGACAUUCUGCAGAUUUCCACCCUCCUUCCUUUUACAAACAUAUGUUUACUGUUACACAAAAAAUGCUGACAACAAAAUUUGCAAACGGAUACUACUGCUUCAGAAGUGUUAGACAAAAUCCAACAACAUCUCCUAUGGUCUUCUGUCUGUAGAACUUACUGUCUUAUAUCCAGUGUACUUGUGUACCUGUUAUGUUCUGUGCAUAAUUACUUGAAGCAGUCAUGCUUCCUCAAACCAAAACACAUUUAAUUUUAAG